Molecule: ribosomal RNA, 301 nt
Filed under: uncultured bacterium
Lineage: Bacteria
Description: partial 16S ribosomal RNA
Rfam family: Bacterial small subunit ribosomal RNA
Source: RNAcentral
CAGCAGCCGCGGUAAUACGUAGGGUGCAAGCGUUAAUCGGAAUUACUGGGCGUAAAGCGUGCGCAGGCGGUUUGUUAAGACAGAUGUGAAAUCCCCGGGCUCAACCUGGGAACUGCAUUUGUGACUGGCAAGCUAGAGUCUGGCAGAGGGGGGUGGAAUUCCGCGUGUAGCAGUGAAAUGCGUAGAUAUGCGGAGGAACACCGAUGGCGAAGGCAGCCCCCUGGGCCAACACUGACGCUCAUGCACGAAAGCGUGGGGAGCAAACAGGAUUAGAUACCCGAGUAGUCCCUGUCUCUUAUAA